This 497-nucleotide ribosomal RNA is filed under the name uncultured bacterium. RNAcentral's name for it is "partial 16S ribosomal RNA". It matches the Rfam family "Bacterial small subunit ribosomal RNA", at positions 28 to 507 of the family's 1533-position model. The record is from RNAcentral.
GAUGAACGCUGGCGGCGUGCCUAAUACAUGCAAGUCGAGCGAACGGACGAGAAGCUUGCUUCUCUGAGGUUAGCGGCGGACGGGUGAGUAACAAGUGGAUAACCUACCUAUAAUACUGGGAGAACUUCGGGAAACCGGCGCUAAUACCGGAUAAUAUUUUGAACCGCAUGGUUCAAAAGUGAUAGACGGUCUUGCUGUCACUUAUAGAUGGAUCCGCGCUGCAUUAGCUAGUUGGUAAGGUAACGGCUUACCAAGGCAACGGUGCAUAGCCGACCUGAGAGGGUGAUCGGCGACACGGGAACUGAGACACCGUCCAGACGACUGAGGGAGGGCGCAGUAGGGAAUGGGCCGCAACGGGCGAAAGCAUGACGGAGUGAGGGCGCGUGAGUGACGAAGGCCCUCGGAUCGUAAAACUCGGUUAUGAGGGAAGAACAUAUGUGUAAGUAAAUGUGCCCAGCGUGACGGUACCUAAUCAGAAAGCCCCGGCUAACUACGUG